UAUACUGUAUAAUCCCUGCGGGGGGAAGAUUUAUCGCUACUAGAUGAGCCUACGUCAGAUUAGCUAGUUGGUGGGGUAAUGGCCCACCAAGGCUGUGAUCUGUAGCUGGUCUGAGAGGAUGAUCAGCCACACUGGAACUGAGACACGGUCCAGACUCCUACGGGAGGCAGCAGUGGGGAAUAUUGGACAAUGGGCGCAAGCCUGAUCCAGCUAUGCCGCGUGAGUGAGGAAGGCCUUAGGGUUGUAAAACUCUUUCAGUAGGGAAGAUAAUGACGGUACCUACAGAAGAAGUCCCGGCAAACUCCGUGCCAGCAGCCGCGGUAAUACGGAGGGGGCAAGCGUUGUUCGGAAUUAUUGGGCGUAAAGGGCAUGUAGGCGGUUUGGUAAGUUAAAGGUGAAAUACCAGGGCUUAACCCUGGGGCUGCUUUUAAUACUGCAGGACUAGAGUCCGGAAGAGGAUAGCGGAAUUCCUAG
Molecule: ribosomal RNA, 474 nt
Filed under: uncultured Anaplasma sp.
Lineage: Bacteria; Pseudomonadati; Pseudomonadota; Alphaproteobacteria; Rickettsiales; Anaplasmataceae
Description: bacterial SSU rRNA
Rfam family: Bacterial small subunit ribosomal RNA
Source: RNAcentral